AGGAAGUGAAUUCUCGAAAUCCGAGGAUUGUACUUCAUCCAGGAUCGACUGACUGUCGAGAGGAUACCCUUUGUGGGAGUUAAGAAUGUCCAAAACACAAAAAGUGCUUUGGAGUUGAGUCCGCGAGAGCAAAUGGUGCAAACUGCAUUUUGGGCUGAUGUUGCUCUCGGGGACCGGUCUCUGGAGGUGAGAGACCGGUCCCCUCGGCUGGGUGUAGCGGGGUUGCUUGGUGCAACCGGUCCCUGGCAGGGAGGGACCGGUUCCCGAACGUGGUCCCAGCGAGAAAUGCCGAAAUUUGGCUAAGUCCUGAAAAUUGAGCUCUCGGGGACCGGUCUCUCAAGCGAAGACCGGUCUCCCGAGGACC
RNAcentral lists this long non-coding RNA (364 nucleotides) under Ananas comosus (pineapple). RNAcentral describes it as "long non-coding RNA (ACOM_LNC034703)". Lineage: Eukaryota; Viridiplantae; Streptophyta; Magnoliopsida; Poales; Bromeliaceae. The record is from RNAcentral.